Pan troglodytes (chimpanzee) is the source of this 1685-nucleotide long non-coding RNA. RefSeq lists it as uncharacterized. Lineage: Eukaryota; Metazoa; Chordata; Mammalia; Primates; Hominidae. The record is from RefSeq and is a predicted model, not a curated record. The transcript is spliced from 3 exons.
GGGACAAUGGGAACUUCCAGCCACACUGCCUGUGGCUUCCACAUUCUUCAGCAGGCCCCUCAUAAGAUCAUCACAAGCAACACGGAGAAAUGUUGGCCUGCUGAAAAUAGAAGUGCAGAGACUCUCUCCCGUGACAGAAUGAGGCGUGGAGGAUUCGCAGAACUCUUUCCUCAAUGGCCCCAUAAUGAUACCAUCUUUUAUUCCUUUUAGUAGCCUCAUCAGUGCCCUGAGUGAAUAUGUGUCUGUGUCUUUAAGGGAAUCCAGGGGAAUAGAAUCCCACUGUGACGUGUUUCCUGACUCAAAAUUCAUCAUGGUUACAUUUUAAUCCUUGGGCAACGGAAGACCAUCAGCAUCGUAGUGAUGCAAGUGGCACUUCAGUUACAAUCCCCAUUGCUAACCAAAGUACCAAGAAAAAAGUAUUAGGUUAAGUGAGAGACUUUGUUUCUACAAAUAGUAGAGUAGUUUGCAAGCCGGGGAGACACAGUCAUUGGUACAAAACAAAGGUGCGCUCCAUGACAACCAAGAGAGGGGCUGUCUUUUAUAGAAAAGUUUUCCUCCCAGUCUCCCAUCCUGGUCCACUACGAAAAUAAGGGAUGCAGGCUUGUUUGGUUUGCACUGGUUGAUAAGAUUGACAUAGACCGAGCAUCCUGGUCCGCUAUGUAAAUAGGGGAUGGAAGCUUGUUUUAUUUGCAAUGGUUGAUAAGACUGACGUAGGCCAAGGUCUGUUGUGUAGGUCCAGAAGGAGAAGUGGGACUUCCCAUCAGCCAUCAAUUCAGGCACCGUGAACAGGAACAGGCAACCCUGAGGGUCCCAAGAUGACACAAAUAUGUGUUUUCUGCCAGGAACGCAGAAUACACAUGUGACCUGCAGUCAGCAGACCGCCAGGUGCCUCCACCUUGAAUUUAAGCCGGUCUUGAGGACCAGCUCCUUCAGGUUCACACUGUGGACCUCAGAAAGGCAGCAUGUGUCAUAGACACUGGGACGUUGUAUUACAGUGGGAAAACAUCACCGCAAAGGCAUAAACCUCCUCUAACUGAAACGGUCCCACACGCAAACACACGGAGCUCCAGUCAUGUGAGAGCACAUUCAGUUUGGGGAAACCUUUUUUGGUCUCUUCCGAUUCUCUCUCCAACAAGACACAUUCUGUGCAUUCCGAAGAGAUGGAAAAUCUUGCAUGAGCCAGUCCCGUGGUGUGCAUUGGUAACUCUCCAAAUUUACAGCGUGUUGGUCUCAUCUUCAUAGCUUGUUAAAAAUAAAUGUCCUAAGCUCACCCCCACCCCAAAAUUCUGAUUCAGUAGCUCUGGAAUGGGGCCCAGGAAUCUGCAUUGAAGACUGCCUUCCCCGACACCCCCAGGAGCUGAAUUUGGUGGCCUCUACACUGCACUGAGAGGGAGGACUGUGGCAUUCAGAAGCCUCCUGUUAGGGGCCGUGUUAGGGGCCGUGGGGUCCCAGCGUGACUCCAAUAUGGUUGCUCCACCCUGGCAAGGCCCUCUCCACUGGCAAAUGGACAACAUGCUCCUGGAGUGACCAGAAUCACUGCGGAGCUUGAAAACCACUUGUUUGGACAUGGGUGUGAUCAGAAGGAUACAUACGAGCUAAAAUGUAUUAGCACAUUUCGUUUCCUGAGGACUUCCGCCAUUGUAAAAUAAAUGUCAUUUCAUUUUAUGCCUUCUUUUAACAUUUGG